GGUGAGUAACACGUGGAUAACCUACCUAUAAGACUGGGAUAACUUCGGGAAACCGGAGCUAAUACCGGAUAAUAUUUUGAACCGCAUGGUUCAAAAGUGAAAGACGGUCUUGCUGUCACUUAUAGAUGGAUCCGCGCUGCAUUAGCUAGUUGGUAAGGUAACGGCUUACCAAGGCAACGAUGCAUAGCCGACCUGAGAGGGUGAUCGGCCACAAUGGGACUGAGACACGGCCCAG
Molecule: ribosomal RNA, 235 nt
Filed under: uncultured Staphylococcus sp.
Lineage: Bacteria; Bacillati; Bacillota; Bacilli; Caryophanales; Staphylococcaceae
Description: partial 16S ribosomal RNA
Rfam family: Bacterial small subunit ribosomal RNA
Source: RNAcentral